UACGGAGGGGGCUAGCGUUGUUCGGAAUUACUGGGCUUAAAGCGCACGUAGGCGGCUUUGUAAGUUAGAGGUGAAAGCCUGGAGCUCAACUCCAGAAUUGCCUUUAAGACUGCAUCGCUUGAAUCUAGGAGAGGUGAGUGGAAUUUCGAGUGUAGAGGUGAAAUUCGUAGAUAUUCGGAAGAACACCAAUGGCGAAGGCGGCUCACUGGACUGGUAUUGACGCUGAGGUGCGAAAGCGUGGGGAGCAAACAGG
RNAcentral lists this ribosomal RNA (253 nucleotides) under uncultured bacterium. Its description in RNAcentral is "partial 16S ribosomal RNA". It matches the Rfam family "Bacterial small subunit ribosomal RNA", at positions 524 to 776 of the family's 1533-position model. The record is from RNAcentral.